This is a small nucleolar RNA of Artibeus jamaicensis (Jamaican fruit-eating bat), 117 nucleotides long. RefSeq annotates it as small nucleolar RNA SNORA8. The record is from RefSeq and is a predicted model, not a curated record. The transcript has a single exon. Lineage: Eukaryota; Metazoa; Chordata; Mammalia; Chiroptera; Phyllostomidae.
UAUAUUUUACUUUCCUGCUGGGUGUUCAAAGGACAGUGUGAUAUAAAUUCAGUAUCUGGCAUCAUUGGUUUUCUUGGCUUUGUGCAUGUUAAACCUGGUAUUUUUACUGAUACAGUA